CUCCUGGUAGAAAAUUAGAUGAAAAUCCUCUGCUUAAGAAUGAAACACCAUCAGAAGCUAAAAACGGUUGUUGAAACCAGGAACUGCUAGAGCAAAUAGACGCAAUGCGUUUCUUAUAACAGAGCCAAAAGCUAUAACUAUUGAUGAUCAACUGCCUGAGGAUAUAGCUUCAGUUUUAAACAGGCGGUCUCAAGUUAACCUUGAAGCUUCAGGAAGUGGCAGUUUUGAUAGUUAUGAUGAAGCAUCAUAUGAAAAGGUUAUGCUUAACCAUCAGGAUUUGGUGUCAAAACCCAAAUGCAAGUAAAGAAGCAAAGAACUCUCAAAAGGAAAGACUCUCUACUCGUGAUGAUGUAUCAGAUGAAAGUCUCAUGUUUAUGCAGCAAGACUUAAAGUUAGAAACAGAAAUUCAUGUAGAGAAACAAAAAUCUUCUGGACCUGAAAGUGUCACUAGUGAUAAAGUACCAGAUGAAAAUCCUGUGCUUGAGCAAGAGUCAAUGUCAGAAACUCAACUGGAAGUAAAGAAACAAAGACCUUCUAAAGAAAGAAGACUCAGUUGUAAGUAUAAUAAUUAUAGAUAAUGUUAACUUAUUUUUAAUUAAACUCAUCAGAUUAUUUCUCUUUGGCUCAUGAGUAUGUAUUUGAAAUAUGCUGUAUAGAAGACUUAAUGUGUGAAUUCUCUCAGAUAACUAGAGAACAAAGGCAAAAUUAUUCAUAUCUCUUGUUUGGUAUUUCUGAUUUUGUGGUCAUAGGUCAAUCACUCAGCAUCUACCAAGGCCCUAUAAUAGACCAGUAAAUGUCUCUUAAAGGAUGUUUACCUUUCAGCUGACUCUUAGAGGUGUGCGUUUGAAAGCCUAAAGGGUGCCUCUGGCCUAUUUCAGUGGUCUUCUGCCACAGCCUCCAACUGGUAAACAGAAAUGCUACUGAAUUCUGUAACUCAAAGAACAAAUAGGGAUUAGAAGGGUGCCAGGGAAGGGCAGCCUGAUGACCUGUUGGAGGGCCUCCAUGGCAUCCUCUUAGUCAUUACCCCAUGGAAAGGAAGCGGCCUUUCUAUUUACCCUAUAGAUGAGUGUCAUCACAGACCAUACAUAAGGAAAGUGAAAAUGUAAUCUCUUAGUUGUCCCACCAGUCUCUGGGCCUUCUCUUCAUUUGUGGAAGUAGAGAGGACCAAAGCUUGGCACUAUUUUCUGGAAUGAGAUAUCUUGCCUCUUACAGAUCAUGCUCAGGAAUUUUAUUAAGAGUGCCUUGUCCAUAAUAAUGGCUCCACAGAGUUGCCAUAUGUCGGUCUGUGGGGCAUCCAUCCAGUCUUUGUCUAGUAGUGCCCAUGUUGGACCCAAAGACAAUGUCAUCAAUAAAGUGGAAGUCUGUUGCACCCUUUGAUGGUGGAGCAUUUUCAUAUCAUCACUUUUGCAUUAAUGACAGAUAUUCAGAGAAUUUUGUUAGCCUUGUGGAAGUAUGGUAGUUCCUCUCAGGAAUACAAAGCAGGGUUUCACACUGACAGUUAACCUAUACUAAUGAUACGUAUAUCAGUGGGGCCAAAACAAUGGAAAUUUGUAGUGAUUUAAAGGACACACCCAUCGUUGGAUCUGGUAAGGAUCCCACUGGUAAUGGUCUCAGACCCAAUGGCCUGGGGUGCUUACCCAGAUCUCUCUCCUUAUGUGGUGAAUAUUGUGUGUUUCUCCAUCCUUCUGGUGUCAGGAGUUGAGAUGAUAGUCACAUAACCACCGUAUCCAAAAGACCCAGGAAAUAUACUGACCUCUGUCCUCAUGUUCCCCUGUGGACAUAGGGACUUGGUCUAACUCAUAGUCUUGUGCAUUUUGAAAGCAAAAUGUUCUUUUUCUUUUCUUUCUUUAAGACAUUUGUUUAUUUUUGGCUUUGCUGAAUCUUCAUUGCUUUGAGUGGGCUUUCUCCAGUUGCAGUGAGUAGGGCCUACUAUUUGUUGCAAUGCUCGGGCUUAUCAUUGCAGUGGCUACUCUUGUUGUGGACCACAGGCCCUGGGCACAUGGGUUCAGUAGUUGCAGCAUUCAGGCUCAGUCGUUUCAGCUCACCAGAUUUAGAGCUCAGGCUCAGUAGCUGUGGUGCAUGGGCUCAGUUGCUCCACGGCAUGUGGAAUCUUCCCGACCAGGGAUCGAUCUUGUGUCCCUGUAUUGACACUCAUCCACUGUGCCACCAAGGAAGUCCAGAGAGUUCUUGAUAGAAGUUGGUGGGUUCUCAGAAUACUCAUGUCUAAAUUCAGUGGAAAGCACUGAGCAGUGACACUUGUAUUAGUUGUAGGAGUCAUCUCUAGGUGGACACUAGUUCAGCUUCCUUCUAGGCAUCCAGUGGGUCUUCAGUUCCUUGGUAGUAAUCCCAUCAGCCUACCUCUCUGACAUCUCAUAUUGGAUAUUCACCGGUAGAUCUCUUCUGGGGAUCCAGGCCUAGAUUGUUCAGGAAUAGGUUACUGAUUAUCAUUUUCAUGUUGUUUUUACUGUUGGUCAGUCACUGCUACAUUGGCAGUAGGUGCUAUUCCGUGUCCAACAAUCUGUCAGUCAAUAUCUAGAUUGUAUAGUUCCCAAUAACCUGACCUUAGGAGGCUUAUUUGAGCUCAGUAGUUAUCUAGCAAGGGUGGCAUGAAUGAAUCAAGAAAUCCAAAUCUGGUUAAAUAUCUCACUGUCCUCAGUGUAGACCCUGGGACCACCAGUGUGGCACUAAGGGACACUAUCAUUUCUGCAGUGAUGAUCCAAACAUGUUUUUCAGUGGUAGAGAACUCAUCACAGGUUGGUCAUUCUGUCAGAUCCAAAAUAAUUCCCGGUGAUGAAGGAGAGAGUUUCAAAUGUAUGCUCUUUUAUUCCCACUUUUCUUCCACCUCCUCAGCCAACAUGACUGCUGUCAAGGCUCUCUAAAGAAGGUAUUUUGUACCUUCUGCACAGUGUGUGUGCGCUCCCUUCACUAAGUUUAACAAGAUUAAUACCUUUAGUAUGAAGGCAAACUACCAGGUUUCUUUUCUUUUGCUACUGGGAACAGUGAUCCUAUGGCUCUCUCUCUCUUUCAUUUUUUUUUUUGUUGUUGUUUUUGUUGUUGUUAAAACAUACAUCUCAGUAGCUCAUUGUUAGUCCCAGGAACAAAUUUAGAGCUAACAGUAGUUAGUGUGUACAGCUAGACAUUCAGGGUUUCCCACAGCUUUACAUCCCAUUGCUAGUGGACCAUAAGCUGCUGCUGCUGCUGCUGCUAAGUCGCUUCAGUCGUGUCCGACUCUGUGCGACCCCAGAGACGGCAGCCCACCAGGCUCCUCCAUCCCUGGGAUUCUCCAGGCAAGAAUAGUGGAGUGGGUUGCCAUUUCCUUCUCCAAUGCAUGAAAGUGAAAAGUGAAACUGAAGUCGCUCAGUCGUGUUCGACUCUUAGCGACCCCAUGGACUGCAGCCUACCAGGCUCCUCCGUCCAUGGAUUUUCCAGGCAAGAGUACUGGAGUGGGGUGCCAUUGCCUUCUCCGGAACCAUAAGCAGUAGCACACAAAUUGCUGCCCUAGCUUUCUCAGAGCCCCUCUGGUUAAUCUAAUUUGAUUGACCCAGCAGGUGUCUUGGCUAAUGAAUCAAGGUCUAGAGAAAAGAAACUGUUCCCCUCAGAACUGAAAAGCCUAAAGAAAUACAAUUGCACUUUCCUAAGGCACCCUGUGUGGUUGCUAGCCCUGUCCAAAACACACUGGCCUGGUUGUCACAGUGCCCCAGGGUCCGCUCAGACUCCUGCUAAUGCUCCUGUGGUACCCUCCCCACCUCACCCUAGAAGGUCCCACAGAUUUACUAAGUACAUCCCAAAGUGUGCCAUCCCGAAGUGUGCCUUCUGAAAGGCUUUGAGCUUCAUUUACCU
Molecule: long non-coding RNA, 3840 nt
Organism: Bos grunniens (domestic yak)
Lineage: Eukaryota; Metazoa; Chordata; Mammalia; Artiodactyla; Bovidae
Source: Ensembl